Long non-coding RNA from Anneissia japonica, 1462 nucleotides. RefSeq lists it as uncharacterized. The record is from RefSeq and is a predicted model, not a curated record. The transcript is spliced from 3 exons. NCBI's taxonomy places the organism in Eukaryota, Metazoa, Echinodermata, Crinoidea, Comatulida, Comatulidae.
AGGUUUUUUUUAAAUAAAAUUUUCAUAGACUUUCUAUAGAGUUUUAAUAGAAUUUUCAUAGUUUUUUAAUAGACUUUUUAUAGUCUACUAUGUUAACUUGUGAAUUUCUUUUUCCCGCACUCUCUCGAUUUCGUUUAUUGGCCUGCCCUGUUCCGGUUUUGGACCAAUUUUAAAAAAUAAAGGUGUCAAAAUACUGAAGACAAUACUUUUUAAUUAAGAUAAUUAUGUACAUUUGAUAUAAUUCACCCAUUUAUAGCCCACAAAUAAUAACUAGAGUUGCAAUCCCAUAAACUGAUUUCGAAAGAAAAAUUUUCUACAUUGUUGCAAUGUUAGAGAAGUGAAAUGAAAAUACCUAAUAAAUUGAGCUUUCUCAGUGGACCUUAAUAUCAUCCAGUUGUCACCUUUUGGAUUUUAAAGACUAAAAUUAUAAGAUAUCUUCCAGUUGUCACUUUUUUAUUUUAAAGACUAAAAUUAUAAGAUAAGGGAAGCAAAAUUACACUUUCAUUCAAAAUUGCCAUAACUUUUUGUAUGUAAAAAUGAAAUCUGAACACUGUUUUAACAUAAUAAAUAUUCAUAGAUGUAUUUCAGUCAUUACAGAUAAUUAUGGAAACUGUUAGUGAUUCAUGUUUUCGAAUUUUGAUGGAAGAAAAACGUUUGGGAAAACUGGAUGAGGUUGGUGUGGUCCAUGAAGCGGAUCUUGCACUAGUUACGGAAGGAUGACAUUCUAAAGGCCAUAGAUGUGCACAAGUGUAGUACACAUUUUAUAAAAGCAACAUGUGAACAAAACACUCCAGAAACUUUAUUCCCAUUUCAAUCCUAGGAGAUUUAUCCAGUCCAGAGCGAAACUCAAUUCAAGAAGAGUACCUUGAUCUUCUAUCACAGAAGCCAUUUUUUGCCAGCACUUCCAAAGCAAAGGAGUCACUUGGACACAGAAGCAUUUCAGUCUAUGACAGUGGAAACAAUCCUGGUGAUGUCUACUGGAACAAGGUAGCUAAUCAAGUUAAAAAGUAUUUGCAGAAAGGGGAAUGACUACCUUCGUCAGAAAGAAAUAGCUGGUCCGAUAUUGUUGAUGACUACGUAUGAAGAUUUGUAUAUAAAAUUUGUUAGUAGCUCUCAAUCAACAAUUAUGAUAUUAUUGUUUUUAUGGGUGAGUCAGUACAACAUAGUGUAUUGCAGUUCUUUGUAAUAUGUAACCUAAUGUUAAGCUAACUACAAGUAUCUGUAUUCCAUGAGUCACUAGCAUUGAAAGUCCAAUUGCCCAGCUAAUUUACUAACUUAUUGAAAAUUGUUAAAAUUAUGAUUAAAAUGUAAUAAAUCUUAAUUUUAAUUACAAGGAAUUACAGACAAGGUGUUGUUUGGGUACAUUUAUCCAAAAGUGUGGUUUCCCUAACUAAUGAAUUUAUGAUUGCCUUUGCAACGUCUCUAAGAUAUGGUGAUAGCAAAUGAUAGUAAACAAGCUAAG